GACGUGCUAAUCUGCGAUAAGCGUCGGUAAGGUGAUAUGAACCGUUAUAACCGGCGAUUUCCGAAUGGGGAAACCCAGUGUGUUUCGACACACUAUCAUUAACUGAAUCCAUAGGUUAAUGAGGCGAACCGGGGGAACUGAAACAUCUAAGUACCCCGAGGAAAAGAAAUCAACCGAGAUUCCCCCAGUAGCGGCGAGCGAACGGGGAGCAGCCCAGAGCCUGAAUCAGUGUGUGUGUUAGUGGAAGCGUCUGGAAAGGCGCGCGAUACAGGGUGACAGC
RNAcentral lists this ribosomal RNA (280 nucleotides) under Escherichia coli. RNAcentral describes it as "partial 23S ribosomal RNA". It matches the Rfam family "Bacterial large subunit ribosomal RNA", at positions 55 to 371 of the family's 2925-position model. Lineage: Bacteria; Pseudomonadati; Pseudomonadota; Gammaproteobacteria; Enterobacterales; Enterobacteriaceae. The record is from RNAcentral.